CAGGGAGCUCUGACAGCGUGCCUUGACGCAAUGUAGCCCUUGGCCCAGGAGGACAGGAAGACAGGGCACUGGCCCUUGCCAUGGGGUACUGGGGUCCUGGAGCCCACUUUCCCUGGGCCUUAGACGGGGACCUGGAGCUCCAUGGGGGAGACUCACUCUCCCAGGGACCUCAAUUUUCCCACCCAUCAAAGGAAAAAUAGGGGCUAUAAAGCACCUUAUACCUUGGGAUGAAAGAAGGCAGGGAAGCCAAUGGAUUGUUCUGGAAGACUGAGGCCCUCUUUCUCUCGCUCCCACCACCCCAGCGGCUCGCGUGCAGGCAGAACCCGCGGUCACUGCUACCCUGUCCAGCCUGAUUCCAUGGGAUCCCUGGCGGCGGCGCGUCCCCCUAGCUGGGACCUCCUGGGGCCAAGAGGCCGGGGGCGGCCCUGCGCCCGCGCUGUCCCGGAGCGCACCUGCGGGGUUGCAGCCCGAGGAGAAGGCGCGGUGCAGCCACGGGACCCCAGCCGUCGAGCUCCUGCCUCGGCCCCGCCUACCAUCAGGCUCCGCCCACCCACUAACCCCGCCCACCGUGUGCGGCCGGAUGGAUCUUCCUUCGCCUGACCCGAGCUGCUCAACCUGCACAUGGAGAAACCGAGGCUCGGUCUCAUCCGUCCUGCCUCUUGUCCCGCUCCCCCGCCUCCCGUCCGCUUCCCGCCUU
This is a long non-coding RNA of Ailuropoda melanoleuca (giant panda), 697 nucleotides long. RefSeq lists it as uncharacterized. The transcript has 3 exons. The record is from RefSeq and is a predicted model, not a curated record. NCBI's taxonomy places the organism in Eukaryota, Metazoa, Chordata, Mammalia, Carnivora, Ursidae.